RNAcentral lists this ribosomal RNA (1971 nucleotides) under Triticum aestivum (bread wheat). RNAcentral's name for it is "partial small subunit ribosomal RNA". Lineage: Eukaryota; Viridiplantae; Streptophyta; Magnoliopsida; Poales; Poaceae. The record is from RNAcentral.
AUGGGGAUGCGGGGGCGGCCCCGCCGCGGCUCGAGAGGGAUAACGUCGUCGCCACCACCUGGGUUCGGCCCCGCCGCGGCCGCCGCGCGGCCGUCCUCCGCCCGUUCCGCAGGUACCAACUCUGCUGCUCGUACCGGCAUGCUGUUCAACGUAGAAAUACAACCUGGCUACGCUGAUCCUGAGUCUCUGCGACAUGUUUGGAAUAGAAGUGCUUCCCCUAUGAAAGGCCGGAAGAGGAAAUUCGGUGUUGAUGCAACCAAAGGUGAAUCACCAGGUAUUAAUGCAAGUAACACCGGGGAGCACCUGCGUUCCUGCAGAAAAGGCAAGGGUCCAGGGAAACGUGCCAGGUUGGUAGACAAAGAAGGUGCUACUGGGUUGGGAAGAGUUCAAACACCAACCGGCUUAUACGAAGAUGAAUGUGCUUUCUGCCAAUCAUUUAGAACCAGUGAGCCGGUGCAUGGUCCGCUGGUACUGUAUCACAAUGGAAGGAUUGUGUCCAGUGACGAGGCCGACGCUACUAACGCCAUAUAUGUCCACUUCAAAUGCAUGGUUUGGGCCCCAAAAGUGAAAUCCAACGACGACGGUACUUUUGAGAACGUCGAGAGUGAAAUCGAGCGUGGUUCAAGAUGGGAUUGCAGCAGAUGCAAUCUCCGGGGAGCAGCACUUGGUUGUUAUCGCGCGGGGUGCCCCAAUACUUAUCAUGUCCCAUGUGCAUUCAUGAUACCAGAAUGCCGCUGGGAUGUUGAGAAUCUCCAUGUUUGGUGUCCCAUGCAUGCACCACCUGAUGAGAUGAGCUCACCAACAAUUGAGACUGGCAUUCUUUCCCCCGACCCUCAAAACCAAAGUCCAGCUAACGAAAUUUCUGCCGAUUGCCAAAUGGAAGAUAACCAAAUUAAUCCAUUGCUGGGCAAUGAGAUGAGCUCACCAAUAAUUGGAAGUGACAUUCCUUCCACUGUCCUUCAGAACAGUUGCCCAGCUAAAGAAAUUUCCGUCGAUUGCCAAAUGGAAGAUAAACAAUUUAAUCCACUCGUCACAUCAAAUUCUCCUUUGCCUGGACUAGUGCCUGGUUCCAGCCAAUAUUUAAUUAAAGAAGGAAUAUCUGCCCUUCAUAGAGGGGAAGAUCUACAAGUAGAUCAGCUGAACACCUCAAGUUCUUCCUCGCCUCAGGGCCAAUGUACGGACAAAGAAGGAAUUUCUACCAAUUACCGAGCAGAAGACAAACUAGCAAACCAGUCUAGUACCCCUUUGGAUCAGUGGGUUUUGCUCGGCAUAGCUUUAAGUGCAUCAGAAAAGGAUUCCUUGAAAGAAUUUGCAUCCUUGACCAGUUCAACCUUGGCUCAGGAAUGGGACAAAACUGUGACUCAUGUUAUUGUGGGCAGAAACGCUGGUUCUCGAUGUGGCAGAUCAUAUGAGGUCCAGAUGGCUAUACUGUCUGGGAAAUGGGUUGUCGCAGCCGGAUGGGUUGUGGAUUGCUUGGUGGAAAGGAUUUCAGGUCCAAAGCCUUGCUUGGCAAAGCUGAUUCCAAGCCCGGAAAUUUCUUAUGAGGUGAAAUUCUACGAUGGUGCACGCACAUCAAUUGAUGGACCAGCGAAAGGAAGAGCUGGAGCUGCUGAAGGGGCACGAAAACUGCUCUCAGGACUGCAUUUCUGCUUCAGCGCAUACAUGCACCCAGAAGACAGAGAGGACAUCCAGAAUCUCAUAGCAGCUGGUGGAGGGCAAGUACUGGAGGGAAUCAGCCCAGACGGGUUACGUGAGAAUCUGAAAAGAAAUCCAGCAGAGGUGUACUUCAUCUACCACGGCGGCCCUCCAAGGACGCCCACUUCGGAUUUCGAUCUUGAGGUGCAGGAGUGCAACAAGUACGUGGGAUCGGGAGCGCGGAUGAUCAGACACCUGCAGCUGUUCGAUGCUAUCCUGUGCUACGAUGUACUAUUCCUAAAACCGACCGGUGUCUUCACCAAGAUAUGCAAGUGA